UACAUGAUUUUCAAACCGGAACUUACCCUAGAGAGGUUUUCGGACCUUUGUUUCGCUAGUUAGCAAGCACAGCCACUAUAUCAAAAUGACGAUGUCGUAAAAAUGUAUGAAAACAAAAAAUGUGAUGUAAGGGUUAUGCACAAGAUUAACAGUGGGUUAAGGUUCGGUAUAUAUCACAUUUUAAGAUGAUCAAAUAGGCGGGGUUUAUGACUGACUAGUGACGAACCUAUCUUUCGUACAAAUCAGUUCUGAAAUCGUUAUACAGCACAAACACUUGACAACUACAAGACAUCAUAGCAUAACCGAAAGUUCACAAUGAGUGAGGAACACUACCGCGAACUUUGAAAACCCUGUGCAAUUUGAAAAUGCGUCAAAUGUGUUUUUCGACGAAGCGAAUAAACAGGUGUUUGCAGUACGUUCAGGGGGUGCCACUGGGGUUGUGGUUAAAGGACCAGAUGACAAAAACUCAGUUGCCUUCAGAAUGGAUGACAAAGGAGAGGUGAAGUGCAUUAAGUUUUCGAUCGGAAAUAAGAUUUUGGCUGUCCAGAGAACACCAAAAUCUGUGGAUUUCAUAAGCUUCAUACCGGAUUAUCCGCAUUUGGAAUGCUCCCAGGAAUGUAAGAUGAAGAAUGCCAGUAUUUUGGGCUUCUGUUGGACCAACUGGAAUGAAAUCGUUCUCAUCACUGACCAGGGAAUUGAGGUCUACCAGGUGCUUCCUGACAAACGCAACCUGAAGUUGCUGAAGAGUCAGAGCAUCAAUGUGAACUGGUACAUGUACUGUCCUGAGACUGCAGUCAUCCUGCUCUCUACCACCGCCCAGGGCAACGUGCUGCAGCCGUUUGCCUUCAAAUACCUGCAGAGUGGGACCAUGUCUAAAAUGCCCAAGUUUGAGAUCGAGCUUCCAGUGGUUCCCAAGCCAGCCAAGCUCAAUCUGACAGAGAGGGACAUUGCUGUGGCCACCAUUUACGGUCAGCUGUAUGUAAUGUAUCUGAAGCAUCACUCCAGAACUACUGACGGUCCCUGUGCUGAGGUGGUCCUCUAUCAGCUACCCAGGGAGGGAUCCUGUAAGAAGACCAACGUGUUGAAACUCAACACCACAGGGAAGUUUGCCCUCAACGUGGUGGAUAACCUGGUUGUUGUGCAUCAUCAGAGCUCUCAGACCUCCAUCAUAUUUGACAUCAAGCUGCGGGAGCCUAACUGCCCUUAACGUCCAUCAGCCUGUGUUGCCUGGUCGCUCCAUCCACCCCUAUAGGAUUCCCCUAACAGGUCUUGCUGCUGUACCCACCCAGCCUCCUGUGCCUUGUGAACUCUACUCCUCAUCUUGGAGCGUCUUUCAACCCGAUAUCAUCAUCAGUGCAAGCGAAGGCCUCCCCAGUGGCGCAGCGGGAUUGAGGAGGACGCAUGACUCAACCUUCACCUCUCCCGAGCCCUUUGGGGAGUUGCUCAACGGGGGAGAUAAGGGGGGCUUACCAGUGGUGGCCACAGUGUUCGACAAACUCAACCAAGUUUACAAAGAGUACUUGGAGGCAGAGCAGACCUACACUGUGGCUACGGAGUCUGGUCCCAGCCGAGGCAGCGCUGCUCGGGAGAGGCCCGUCCGGAGGCAGGCGGUAAUCGACCAGUCAGACAUGUACACCCACGUCCUGUCCUCCUUCUCUGAGAAAAAGGACACAUCUCACAAGUUUAUAAUUGCUGUGCUGAUGGAGUACAUUCGCUCACUCAACCAGGUCCAGAUCACCGUGCAGCAUUACCUGUAUGAGCUGGUCAUUAAGAUGUUGGUUCAGCACAACCUCCUCUACAUGCUCCAUCAGUUCCUCCAGUACCACGUCCUCAACGACUCCAAGCCACUGGCCUGUUUGCUGCUGUCUCUAGAAAGCACAUACCCCCCUGCACACCAGCUUUCCCUGGAUAUGUUGAAGAGACUGUCCACAGCCAAUGAUGAGAUCGUGGAGGUGCUCCUGUCCAGACAGCAGGUGCUGGGUGCCGUGCGCUUCAUCCACAGCGUGGGUGGCCACGACAACAUCUCCGCCCGCAAGUUCCUAGACGCGGCAUGCCAGACGGCCGACCAGAUGCUCUUCUACACCAUCUUCCGGUUCUUCGAGCAGAGGAACCUGCGUCUGAGAGGCAACCCCAGCUUCAACCCAGGUGAGCACUGUGAGGAGCAUGUGGUAUACUUCAAGCAAGUUUUCGGGGAGCAGGCACUCAUGAAGCAAGUAACAGUUUGAGUCGAGACAUAUUUUAUCUUAUCCCACAGUCCAUUAACUUAUUGUAAAUAAUUGUUCAAAUCAUGCUAAUAAAAUCAUUUGUACAUAUUCUAACAAUCAA
Oncorhynchus keta (chum salmon) is the source of this 2325-nucleotide RNA transcript. It is a transcript of the gene named regulator of MON1-CCZ1 complex-like, with no coding region annotated. Lineage: Eukaryota; Metazoa; Chordata; Actinopteri; Salmoniformes; Salmonidae. The transcript is spliced from 20 exons. The record is from RefSeq and is a predicted model, not a curated record.